This 73-nucleotide transfer RNA is filed under the name Psychroserpens citreus. Its description in RNAcentral is "Psychroserpens sp. MEBiC05023 tRNA-Lys". It matches the Rfam family "tRNA". From Rfam's summary of the family: Transfer RNA (tRNA) molecules are approximately 80 nucleotides in length. Lineage: Bacteria; Pseudomonadati; Bacteroidota; Flavobacteriia; Flavobacteriales; Flavobacteriaceae. The record is from RNAcentral. RNAcentral also lists the same sequence under 1 other name.
UGACGCGUAGCUCAAUUGGCAGAGCACUCAGCUUUUAACCGAGGGGUUGUGAGUUCGAUCCUCACCGCGUCAA